UCUUAGCCUCAAAGUACAGACAGAGAGAAAUAAACUCUCACGUAGUGGAUUCAAGAUCGGAGAAAAAAAACUGCUUAAAAUUUAAGCAACGCCACAGAGAAUAGGAAAAAUAAAUUCCUAUAUAAGCAUGCAUAUUAAAAGUAGUAGAAAAAUAAAUUCUACCUACUCCCCCUCAACAUAUGCAUAAACUUCACUCCCCCUCAAAACAUGCAUAUAACAUGAAACCAUCAUGCUAUACUAGAUGCUAUAGCAUUCUGCAUCACAUCAUGCACAACAGAUAUUACUCCCCCUUUUUAGCCAUAAAUUCUGACAAAUAAAGUCAGUAUCACACAGUAGGAGCAGAACUUCCACAGAGUUAUCAGAUCAUAGAGAAACAUAGAGUGCAGAGAGAAUCAGAGCAUAGGAACUCAUAAAGUGCAUAUGACAGACCAUCAGGGCAUAGAAAACCUGGAGUAUCGGACUCAAAGACAUGGAUUAUGCAUGUUACAAUCCAGAGAGCAUCAGGGCGUAGCCCAACAAAUUAAAAUCCAAAAGGACAUGCAAAUAAAGCAUAAGCAGGUCACAUAGAAGGACUUGCGUCAGAGUCCUCCUCCNNNNNNNCAGUUGACUGAUUGACAGAUGAUGCAGCACAGUCUGCAGCAUGUGUACCCUCAAACAGUCUAAAAUCAAAAGAUAAAUCACAACCUCUCUUACUAGAAACACCAGCCUCAGUACAAAUGCCAGGAUGUUGAACCAAAACAAUAUCACACAUCAGUGUAGGGAAGGCUAUAGGCAUCUUCACAACAAAUGACUUAAUAUCCAGAACAGUUUCAUCAAGAAUAUAAGAACCAAAGUCAAAAGGUGAUCUUGUCCCUACAACAUAUAUAAACCGAGCCAAACAUGUAGCCAGAGUAUUGGAAUGAGUAGUUGGAGCACAGUUGCAGUUUUCAUCAAUCCAGUUGCAUUAAUUAAAUCAACAAGCUUUUGGCAUUGUAAAAAAAAUCUUCACUUAAAUUCCUUUCCACAGCAAGCUCCUCAAAAGCUUCUUCUUUGGCUCAGAGGGCCCAGUAAUCUUACUCCACUGUCUUUUAAGACUAUAGAUUUUCUUUUCCUUGGCAGUCUUGACAGGAACAUUAGAAACAACUACACCUUUACCAGCAUUGCUCCUUAACCUCCUAGUACUAGAAGCAGGAUUCCUCUCAGUAAGGUUGAGAUUGUCCACAUAAAUAACAUUUGAAUCUUUCUCAGCAGAUUCAUCAACAUUCAAAGGAACAAACAUAGUUUUACCACUAUCAUCAACAUAAGGGAUCACAUAGAUAUCAUGAACAAAAACAUUAUCAGUAG
This 1323-nucleotide long non-coding RNA is filed under the name Trifolium pratense (red clover). RNAcentral's name for it is "long non-coding RNA (TPRA_LNC012728)". Lineage: Eukaryota; Viridiplantae; Streptophyta; Magnoliopsida; Fabales; Fabaceae. The record is from RNAcentral.